RNAcentral lists this ribosomal RNA (242 nucleotides) under uncultured bacterium. RNAcentral describes it as "partial 16S ribosomal RNA". It matches the Rfam family "Bacterial small subunit ribosomal RNA", at positions 15 to 248 of the family's 1533-position model. The record is from RNAcentral.
GAUCUGGCUCAGGAUGAACGCUAGCUACAGGCUUAACACAUGCAAGUCGAGGGGCAGCAUUUCAGUUUGCUUGCAAACUGGAGAUGGCGACCGGCGCACGGGUGAGUAACACGUAUCCAACCUGCCGAUAACUCGGGGAUAGCCUUUCGAAAGAAAGAUUAAUACCCGAUGGUAUAAUUAGACCGCAUGGUCUAAUUAUUAAAGAAUUUCGGUUAUCGAUGGGGAUGCGUUCCAUUAGGCAG